This 812-nucleotide ribosomal RNA is filed under the name uncultured bacterium. Its description in RNAcentral is "bacterial SSU rRNA". It matches the Rfam family "Bacterial small subunit ribosomal RNA", at positions 625 to 1437 of the family's 1533-position model. The record is from RNAcentral.
UCUGGAAACUNUCUGACUUGAGUGCAGAAGGGGAGAGUGGAAUUCCAUGUGUAGCGGUGAAAUGCGUAGAUAUAUGGAGGAACACCAGUGGCGAAAGCGGCUCUCUGGUCUGUCACUGACGCUGAGGCUCGAAAGCGUGGGUAGCGAACAGGAUUAGAUACCCUGGUAGUCCACGCCGUAAACGAUGAGUGCUAGGUGUUAGGCCCUUUCCGGGGCUUAGUGCCGGAGCUAACGCAAUAAGCACUCCGCCUGGGGAGUACGACCGCAAGGUUGAAACUCAAAGGAAUUGACGGGGGCCCGCACAAGCGGUGGAGCAUGUGGUUUAAUUCGAAGCAACGCGAAGAACCUUACCAGGUCUUGACAUCCCGAUGCUAUUCUUAGAGAUAGGAAGUUACUUCGGUACAUCGGAGACAGGUGGUGCAUGGUUGUCGUCAGCUCGUGUCGUGAGAUGUUGGGUUAAGUCCCGCAACGAGCGCAACCCUUAUUGUUAGUUGCCAUCAUUAAGUUGGGCACUCUAGCGAGACUGCCGGUAAUAAACCGGAGGAAGGUGGGGAUGACGUCAAAUCAUCAUGCCCCUUAUGACCUGGGCUACACACGUGCUACAAUGGUCGGUACAACGAGUUGCGAGCCGGUGACGGCAAGCUAAUCUCUGAAAGCCGAUCUCAGUUCGGAUUGGAGGCUGCAACUCGCCUCCAUGAAGUCGGAAUCGCUAGUAAUCGCGGAUCAGCACGCCGCGGUGAAUACGUUCCCGGGCCUUGUACACACCGCCCGUCACACCACGAGAGUUUGUAACACCCGAAGUCGNUGAGGUA